Tritrichomonas musculus is the source of this 88-nucleotide non-coding RNA. The record is from the annotation of a GenBank genome assembly. Lineage: Eukaryota; Parabasalia; Tritrichomonadida; Tritrichomonadidae.
CUGCCUUUAGUAUAAUUGGUAAGAACAUGUGACUGUAAAAAUGUUUAUGGUAAUCACAAAGAUGCUGGUUCGAGUCCGGCGGGGCAGA